UAGGGAAUCUUCCGCAAUGGGCGAAAGCCUGACGGAGCAACGCCGCGUGAGUGAUGAAGGUCUUCGGAUCGUAAAACUCUGUUAUUAGGGAAGAACAAAUGUGUAAGUAACUAUGCACGUCUUGACGGUACCUAAUCAGAAAGCCACGGCUAACUACGUGCCAGCAGCCGCGGUAAUACGUAGGUGGCAAGCGUUAUCCGGAAUUAUUGGGCGUAAAGCGCGCGUAGGCGGUUUUUUAAGUCUGAUGUGAAAGCCCACGGCUCAACCGUGGAGGGUCAUUGGAAACUGGUUGACUUGAGUGCAGAAGAGGAGAGUGGAAUUCCAUGUGUAGCGGUGAAAUGCGUAGAUAUAUGGAGGAACACCAGUGGCGAAGGCGACUUUCUGGUCUGUAACUGACGCUGAUGUGCGAAAGCGUGGGGAUCAAACAGG
This 429-nucleotide ribosomal RNA is filed under the name Bacteroidota bacterium. RNAcentral describes it as "Bacteroidetes bacterium partial 16S ribosomal RNA". It matches the Rfam family "Bacterial small subunit ribosomal RNA", at positions 355 to 776 of the family's 1533-position model. Lineage: Bacteria; Pseudomonadati; Bacteroidota. The record is from RNAcentral.